Molecule: ribosomal RNA, 493 nt
Filed under: uncultured bacterium
Lineage: Bacteria
Description: bacterial SSU rRNA
Rfam family: Bacterial small subunit ribosomal RNA
Source: RNAcentral
GAUGAACGCUGGCGGCGUGCUUAACACAUGCAAGUCGAACGAAGCACUUUACUUGAUCUCUUCGGAGUGAUUGUUUUGUGACUGAGUGGCGGACGGGUGAGUAACGCGUGGGUAACCUGCCUCACACAGGGGGAUAACGGUUGGAAACGGCUGCUAAUACCGCAUAAGCGCACAGUACCGCAUGGUACGGUGUGAAAAACUCCGGUGGUACAAGAUGGACCCGCGUCUGAUUAGCUGGUUGGUGAGGUAACGGCCCACCAAGGCGACGAUCAGUAGCCGGCCUGAGAGGGUGAACGGCCACAUUGGGACUGAGACACGGCCCAAACUCCUACGGGAGGCAGCAGUGGGGAAUAUUGGCACAAUGGGGGAAACCCCGAUGCAGCAACGCCGCGUGAGUGAAGAAGUAUUUCGGUAUGUAAAGCUCUAUCAGCAGGAAGAAAAUGACGGUACCUGACUAAGAAGCCCCGGNUAACUACGUGCCAGCAGCCGCGGU